Non-coding RNA from Nylanderia fulva, 501 nucleotides. Lineage: Eukaryota; Metazoa; Arthropoda; Insecta; Hymenoptera; Formicidae. The record is from RefSeq and is a predicted model, not a curated record.
AAAUGACGCAAUGUUGACAUUUUCUAAAAAUCAUAAAUCUAAAAAGGAUCUCUUACUUACAAAAAUAUGUCAAGCAAGGAAGGUAACUUCAGUUACGGAUAACAAAACAAAAAUCAUAGAGAUUGCAAGAGAAAAACAGAAAUGUUUAAUAGAAGAUAAUAUGGAUUCUGAUAAUGCUACAGAAGAAAAUAUUGAUCCUAAUAUUCCACGAGAGGACGAUUUUUCAAUGAAAGUUCAGGAUAUCAAAUAAAGAUGUAUCUCCAAGUACAAGUGCAAGAUCGAUAAAUAUAGAGACACCAGGUACAUCAAAAGAUUACUGUAUUUAUGAAGCAAAUAUAUCUGAUGAAAAAUCAUCAUCUUCAAUAUGCACUUCUCCAUCAGAAUUACGUCAAAAGAGUCCAGUUACUUCACAUGUGACAGCUGUAACUACACCGAGUUCAUCUUGUAGAUCAAGUAGUGUAUUAGAUGUGUCUAAAGCGACCUUUGAUAUGAAAGCUUUUG